AAUACCUAGGAAUCUGCCUGGUAGUGGGGGACAACGUUUCGAAAGGAACGCUAAUACCGCAUACGCCCUACGGGGGAAAGCAGGGGACCUUCGGGCCUUGCGCUAUCAGAUGAGCCUAGGUCGGAUUAGCUAGUUGGUGAGGUAAUGGCUCACCAAGGCGACGAUCCGUAACUGGUCUGAGAGGAUGAUCAGUCACACUGGAACUGAGACACGGUCCAGACUCCUACGGGAGGCAGCAGUGGGGAAUAUUGGACAAUGGGCGAAAGCCUGAUCCAGCCAUGCCGCGUGUGUGAAGAAGGUCUUCGGAUUGUAAAGCACUUUAAGUUGGGAGGAAGGGUACUUACCUAAUACGUGAGUAUUUUGACGUUACCGACAGAAUAAGCACCGGCUAACUCUGUGCCAGCAGCCGCGGUAAUACAGAGGGUGCAAGCGUUAAUCGGAAUUACUGGGCGUAAAGCGCGCGUAGGUGGUUCGUUAAGUUGGAUGUGAAAUCCCCGGGCUCAACCUGGGAACUGCAUCCAAAACUGGCGAGCUAGAGUAGGGCAGAGGGUGGUGGAAUUUCCUGUGUAGCGGUGAAAUGCGUAGAUAUAGGAAGGAACACCAGUGGCGAA
Molecule: ribosomal RNA, 611 nt
Filed under: Pseudomonas vranovensis
Lineage: Bacteria; Pseudomonadati; Pseudomonadota; Gammaproteobacteria; Pseudomonadales; Pseudomonadaceae
Description: bacterial SSU rRNA
Rfam family: Bacterial small subunit ribosomal RNA
Source: RNAcentral